Ensifer adhaerens OV14 is the source of this 158-nucleotide non-coding RNA. The record is from Rfam. NCBI's taxonomy places the organism in Bacteria, Pseudomonadati, Pseudomonadota, Alphaproteobacteria, Hyphomicrobiales, Rhizobiaceae.
UGCGGUCUGCGCUUCCCGACAGGAUCCACAAUCCCCGGGGCCUUACUCGAUCUCAAGGGAGCUGUCCCUGGCCGGGCUUGUGGGCUCGGACAUAUGGCGCCCACCUACUUUGUAGGCACCCGGGAUCGUAAAAUAUCCAUCGGUUGGGUGGAUCGCAC